UCCUUAAUAAGUGUUCCAUGCACUUUGCCUUACAGCCCCGCACCUUCGCCACCGAGGAAUCGAAGGUUGCGUUCACGCUGACUCUACUUUCCGGCAAGGCCGCCUUAUGGGGGACGGCGGUGUGGGAGAACCAACAUCCGUGUUGCGCAUCGUUGCCCCCCACACUCAACGGUCUCAUCGACCCAGCCCUACGAGUUGAUGCCUGGAUUAAUCGUCUGGGUCGACACACCAGUCCUACACGCCAUCCCAUCUCUCCGGAGAGGGGCCGCUCGAGUCGAGAGAAUGCGGUCGGUCCCGUCGACGACCACGAACCCAUGCAGGUGGGUAGAGCUCGGCUGUCCCGGAAGGAGAGAGAGCGGCGGAGGUCCCAAGGACUAUGCUUGUACUGUGGAGGCUCAGGACAUACCAUCUAUUCCUGCCCGGUAAAAGAGCCAGCCCGGUAGUAAGGAUGAGGCUACUCUCGGGUGGGAUCUCCGCUGGGAAGUCCUCAACAACAUCCUCGACUCUCCUUCCGGUGAAACUGCGGUGGGGGAAUCACACACACGACUGUCACGACCUUCUGGACUCCAUAGCCGAAGGUAAUUUCAUCGAAUCACUCCUUGCACGUCACCUAAACAUUCCGUCCGGCCUGUGUCUCUUCCCAUCCAGGUCAAUGCACUCAAUGGCCAGGAACUGCCUCACGUCACCCAUUACACUGAACCCAUCACUCUGCUCACUUCAGGCAAUCAUUGCGAAACCAUAUCCUUUUUCCUCAUGGACUCCCCUGUAGCUCCCAUUGUCUUAGGUCACCCCUGGUUAAUGAAACAUAAUCCACGAGUGGAUUGGGGUUCCAACACUGUCACAUUGUGGAGUGAAAGUUGUCAUGAGUCUUGUCUGGUUUCUGCUUGUCCUGUUGUCCCUGUCUCUGUUUUGCAGAGAGAGAACAUGGUAUUAUCAAACGUGCCCGAAGAGUACCUGGACCUGAAGGAAGUGUUCAGUAAGUCCCGUGCUGCUUCUCUGCCUCCGCAUCGUCCCUACGACUGUGCCAUAGACUUAGUGCCAGAGAAGUCUCCGCCUAAAGUUCCUGUGCCAUCCUCUCCUGCUGCCAACUCACCAUCACCAUCUGGAUUACUCACCGUCUCCCACCAUCUUGGAUUGUCGUCUUCCCAGCGUUGUUUGUAUUCUUGUUUGUUUUGUUUGGUUCUCAUUAAACUGUUUCAUACUCGCACUUGUUUCCAGCUUCUCCUUCACCCAGUCGUCACAUAUCCAAAGCAACUUACAGUGCAUUCAGUCUAUAAUUAUUAUUUUUUUUUUACCAAUAUGUGUGUUCCCCGGGAAUCGAACCCAUAA
Long non-coding RNA from Cyprinus carpio carpio, 1329 nucleotides. The record is from Ensembl. NCBI's taxonomy places the organism in Eukaryota, Metazoa, Chordata, Actinopteri, Cypriniformes, Cyprinidae.